RNAcentral lists this ribosomal RNA (253 nucleotides) under uncultured bacterium. RNAcentral's name for it is "partial 16S ribosomal RNA". It matches the Rfam family "Bacterial small subunit ribosomal RNA", at positions 524 to 776 of the family's 1533-position model. The record is from RNAcentral.
UACGUAGGGAGCAAGCGUUGUUCGGAUUUACUGGGCGUAAAGGGCGCGUAGGCGGCGCGGUAAGUCACUUGUGAAAUCUCUGAGCUUAACACAGAACGGCCAAGUGAUACUGCAGUGCUAGAGUGCAGAAGGGGCAAUCGGAAUUCUUGGUGUAGCGGUGAAAUGCGUAGAUAUCAAGAGGAACACCUGAGGUGAAGACGGGUUGCUAGGCUGACACUGACGCUGAGGCGCGAAAGCCAGGGGAGCAAACGGG